UCUCUUUCUUCAGAUGAUGAUCCCAAGCCUUCUGGCGGUCUGUAUAUAUUAAGCCUUUUGAUGGUUAUAAAAGAGGUUUUUGCAGAUCAGAUUAUGCCGGAGAAGGUUUUCCGGUUUACCCCGGAGGGCUUGUAGCUCAGUUGGUUAGAGCGCGCGCUUGAUAAGCGUGAGGUCGGAGGUUCAAGUCCUCCCAGGCCCACCAUUUAUAACGGCUUGUAAGCGGCUUAUAGAAGGAUAUAGAUCAUAGAUCUAUUUUGCCAGGAUCCUAUAAUUGAAUUGUGAUUUUUUUAAGUAACUUACGUAGCUUAUGGAGUGCAUUGAAUUUUGUGGCUCUUCUUUUGAGAGGUUUUAAGCCUUUUUCAAGAGUUGAGGCACGGAGCAUUGAGGGGCCGUAGCUCAGCUGGGAGAGCACCUGCUUUGCAAGCAGGGGGUCGUCGGUUCGAUCCCGUCCGGCUCCACCACUUAGGUCAUCAUCGUUGUUAAAGGAACAAAGUUUGCAGGAGGAUUAUAGUCCUCUUUGCGUGUUCUAUUGAAAUUGU
RNAcentral lists this transfer RNA (539 nucleotides) under Bartonella australis. RNAcentral describes it as "partial contains 16S-23S ribosomal RNA intergenic spacer". The stretch from base 126 to 199 matches the Rfam family "tRNA". Lineage: Bacteria; Pseudomonadati; Pseudomonadota; Alphaproteobacteria; Hyphomicrobiales; Bartonellaceae. The record is from RNAcentral.